GAUGAACGCUGGCGGCGUGCCUAAUACAUGCAAGUCGAGCGAACAGACGAGGAGCUUGCUCCUCUGACGUUAGCGGCGGACGGGUGAGUAACACGUGGAUAACCUACCUAUAAGACUGGGAUAACUUCGGGAAACCGGAGCUAAUGCCGGAUAAUAUAUUGAACCGCAUGGUUCAAUAGUGAAAGACGGUUUUGCUGUCACUUAUAGAUGGAUCCGCGCCGCAUUAGCUAGUUGGUAAGGUAACGGCUUACCAAGGCGACGAUGCGUAGCCGACCUGAGAGGGUGAUCGGCCACACUGGAACUGAGACACGGUCCAGACUCCUACGGGAGGCAGCAGUAGGGAAUCUGCCGCAAUGGGCGAAAGCCUGACGGAGCAACGCCGCGUGAGUGAUGAAGGUCUUCGGAUCGUAAAACUCUGUUAUUAGGGAAGAACAAAUGUGUAAGUAACGAUGCACGUCUUGACGGUACCUAAGCAGAAAGCCACGGCUAACUACGU
This 496-nucleotide ribosomal RNA is filed under the name uncultured bacterium. RNAcentral's name for it is "partial 16S ribosomal RNA". It matches the Rfam family "Bacterial small subunit ribosomal RNA", at positions 28 to 506 of the family's 1533-position model. The record is from RNAcentral.